This 497-nucleotide ribosomal RNA is filed under the name uncultured bacterium. RNAcentral describes it as "partial 16S ribosomal RNA". It matches the Rfam family "Bacterial small subunit ribosomal RNA", at positions 28 to 507 of the family's 1533-position model. The record is from RNAcentral.
GAUGAACGCUGGCGGCGUGCCUAAUACAUGCAAGUCGAGCGAACGGACGAGAAGCUUGCUUCUCUGAUGUUAGCGGCGGACGGGUGAGUAACACGUGGAUAACCUACCUAUAAGACUGGGAUAACUUCGGGAAACCGGAGCUAAUACCGGAUGAUAUUUUGAACCGCAUGGUUCAAAAGUGAAAGACGGUCUUGCUGUCACUUAUAGAUGGAUCCGCGCUGCAUUAGCUAGUUGGUAAGGUAACGGCUUACCAAGGUGACGAUGCAUAGCCGACCUGAGAGGGUGAUCGGCCACACUGGAACUGAGACACGGUCCAGACUCCUACGGGAGGCAGCAGUAGGGAAUCUUCCGCAAUGGGCGAAGGCCUGACGGAGCAACGCCGCGUGAGUGAUGAAGGUCUUCGGAUCGUAAAACUCUGUUAUUAGGGAAGAACAUAUGUGUAAGUAACUGUGCACAUCUUGACGGUACCUAAUCAGAAAGCCACGGCUAACUACGUG